UUUCAGGUGGCCGAGCGGUCUAAGGCGGUAGCUUCAGGUGCUAUUCUCUUCGGAGGCGCAGGUUCGAACCCUGCCCUGGACA
RNAcentral lists this transfer RNA (82 nucleotides) under Catenaria anguillulae PL171. It matches the Rfam family "tRNA". Rfam says of the family: Transfer RNA (tRNA) molecules are approximately 80 nucleotides in length. Their secondary structure includes four short double-helical elements and three loops (D, anti-codon, and T loops). Lineage: Eukaryota; Fungi; Blastocladiomycota; Blastocladiomycetes; Blastocladiales; Catenariaceae. The record is from Rfam by way of RNAcentral.